AACGAACGCUGGCGGCAUGCCUAACACAUGCAAGUCGAACGAGACCUUCGGGUCUAGUGGCGCACGGCUGCGUACCGCGUGGGAACCUGCCCUUAGGUUCGGAAUCACUCCCCGCAAGGGGCCCUAAUACCGGAUAAUGUCUUCCGACCAAAGAUUUCUCGCCUUUGGAUGGGCCCGCGUUGGAUUAGCUAGUUGGUAGGGUAAAAGCCUACCAAGGCGACGAUCCAUAGCUGGUCUGAGAGGAUGAUCAGCCACACUGGGACUGAGACACGGCCCAGACUCCUACGGGAGGCAGCAGUGGGGAAUAUUGGACAAUGGGCGAAAGCCUGAUCCAGCAAUGCCGCGUGAGUGAGGAAGGCCUUAGGGUUGUAAAGCUCUUUUACCCGGGAUGAUAAUGACAGUACCGGGAGAAUAAGCUCCGGCUAACUCCGUG
RNAcentral lists this ribosomal RNA (433 nucleotides) under uncultured bacterium. Its description in RNAcentral is "partial 16S ribosomal RNA". It matches the Rfam family "Bacterial small subunit ribosomal RNA", at positions 29 to 507 of the family's 1533-position model. The record is from RNAcentral.